Molecule: ribosomal RNA, 496 nt
Filed under: uncultured bacterium
Lineage: Bacteria
Description: partial 16S ribosomal RNA
Rfam family: Bacterial small subunit ribosomal RNA
Source: RNAcentral
GAUGAACGCUGGCGGCGUGCCUAAUACAUGCAAGUCGAGCGAACAGACGAGGAGCUUGCUCCUUCGACGUUAGCGGCGGACGGGUGAGUAACACGUAGGUAACCUACCUAUAAGACUGGGAUAACUUCGGGAAACCGGAGCUAAUACCGGAUAAUAUUUCGAACCGCAUGGUUCGAUAGUGAAAGAUGGCUUUGCUAUCACUUAUAGAUGGACCUGCGCCGCAUUAGCUAGUUGGUAAGGUAACGGCUUACCAAGGCAACGAUACGUAGCCGACCUGAGAGGGUGAUCGGCAAACCUGGACCGAGGCACGGGUCAAACUCCCACGGGGAGGAAGCAGUAGGAAACUUUCCGCAAUGGGCGAAAGCCUGACGGGGAAACGCGGCGUGAGUGAGAAGGGCCUUCGGUUCGUAAAACCUUGUUAUAGGGGAAGAACAAAGGUGUAGGUACCUGUGACCGUCUUGACGGUACCUAAGAAGAAAGCAACGGCAACCUACGU